This 497-nucleotide ribosomal RNA is filed under the name uncultured bacterium. RNAcentral describes it as "partial 16S ribosomal RNA". It matches the Rfam family "Bacterial small subunit ribosomal RNA", at positions 28 to 507 of the family's 1533-position model. The record is from RNAcentral.
GAUGAACGCUGGCGGCGUGCCUAAUACAUGCAAGUCGAGCGAACGGACGAGAAGCUUGCCUCUUUGAUGUUAGCGGCGGACGGGUGAGUAACAAGUGGAUCACCCUCCUAUUAGAAUGGGGUUAACUCGGGAAAACGGAGCUUAUAACGGAUAAUAUUUUGAACCGCCUGGGUCAAAAAUGAAAGACGGUCUUGCUGUCCCAUUUAGAUGGAUCCGCGCUGCAUUAGCUAGUUGGUAAGGGAAAGGCUUACCAAGGCAACGAUGCAUAGCCGCCCUGGGAGGGUGACCGGCCACACUGGAACUAAGACACGGUCCAUACUCCUACGGAGGGCAGCGGUGGGGAUUUUUCCGCAUUGAGCGAAGGCCUAACGGGGCACCGCCGGGUGGGUGAUGAAGGUCUCCGGAUCUUAAAACUCUGUGAUUAGGGAAGAACAGAUGUGUAAGUACCUGGGCGCAUCUUGACGGUACCUAGUCAGAAAGCCACGGCUAACUACGUG